AAUCCAUAGGUUAAUGAGGCGAACCGGGGGAACUGAAACAUCUAAGUACCCCGAGGAAAAGAAAUCAACCGAGAUUCCCCCAGUAGCGGCGAGCGAACGGGGAGGAGCCCAGAGCCUGAAUCAGCAUGUGUGUUAGUGGAAGCGUCUGGAAAGGCGCGCGAUACAGGGUGACAGCCCCGUACACAAAAGCGCAUGUGCUGUGAGCUCGAUGAGUAGGGCGGGACACGUGGUAUCCUGUCUGAAUAUGGGGGGACCAUCCUCCAAGGCUAAAUACUCCUGACUGACCGAUAGUGAACCAGUACCGUGAGGGAAAGGCGAAAAGAACCCCGGCGAGGGGAGUGAAAAAGAACCUGAAACCGUGUACGUACAAGCAGUGGGAGCCCCACCACCAAAGCGUUUCGCUUUGUGUGGUGCACAAAGAAGCGUAACGACAGCACUGAAUGACGGUUAACGGAGCGCAAGCGACGUUCAACAUACAAAGUCAAGCAGUGGAGCGCUUUGGGGUGGGGUGACUGCGUACCUUUUGUAUAAUGGGUCAGCGACUUAUAUUCUGUAGCAAGGUUAACCGAAUAGGGGAGCCGGAGGGAAACCGAGUCUUAACCGGGCGUUAAGUUGCAGGGUAUAGACCCGAAACCCGGUGAUCUAGCCAUGGGCAGGUUGAAGGUUGGGUAACACUAACUGGAGGACCGAACCGACUAAUGUUGAAAAAUUAGCGGAUGACCUGUGGCUGGGGGUGAAAGGCCAAUCAAACCGGGAGAUAGCUGGUUCUCCCCGAAAGCUAUUUAGGUAGCGCCUCGUGAAUUCAUCUCCGGGGGUAGAGCACUGUUUCGGCUAGGGGGCCAUCCCGGCUUACCAACCCGAUGCAAACUGCGAAUACCGGAGAAUGUUAUCACGGGAGACACACGGCGGGUGCUAACGUCCGUCGUGAAGAGGGAAACAACCCAGACCGCCAGCUAAGGUCCCAAAGUCAUGGUUAAGUGGGAAACGAUGUGGGAAGGCCCAGACAGCCAGGAUGUUGGCUUAGAAGCAGCCAUCAUUUAAAGAAAGCGUAAUAGCUCACUGGUCGAGUCGGCCUGCGCGGAAGAUGUAACGGGGCUAAACCAUGCACCGAAGCUGCGGCAGCGACGCUUAUGCGUUGUUGGGUAGGGGAGCGUUCUGUAAGCCUGUGAAGGUGGCCUGUGAGGGUUGCUGGAGGUAUCAGAAGUGCGAAUGCUGACAUAAGUAACGAUAAAGCGGGUGAAAAGCCCGCUCGCCGGAAGACCAAGGGUUCCUGUCCAACGUUAAUCGGGGCAGGGUGAGUCGACCCCUAAGGCGAGGCCGAAAGGCGUAGUCGAUGGGAAACGGGUUAAUAUUCCCGUACUUGGUGUUACUGCGAAGGGGGGACGGAGAAGGCUAUGUUGGCCGGGCGACGGUUGUCCCGGUUUAAGCGUGUAGGUGUGUGUUCCAGGUAAAUCCGGUUCACUUUAACACUGAGGCGUGAUGACGAGGCACUACGGUGCUGAAGCAACAAAUGCCCUGCUUCCAGGAAAAGCCUCUAAGCAUCAGGUAACAUCAAAUCGUACCCCAAACCGACACAGGUGGUCAGGUAGAGAAUACCAAGGCGCUUGAGAGAACUCGGGUGAAGGAACUAGGCAAAAUGGUGCCGUAACUUCGGGAGAAGGCACGCUGACACGUAGGUGAAGUGAUUUACUCAUGGAGCUGAAGUCAGUCGAAGAUACCAGCUGGCUGCAACUGUUUAUUAAAAACACAGCACUGUGCAAACACGAAAGUGGACGUAUACGGUGUGACGCCUGCCCGGUGCCGGAAGGUUAAUUGAUGGGGUCAGCGCAAGCGAAGCUCCUGAUCGAAGCCCCGGUAAACGGCGGCCGUAACUAUAACGGUCCUAAGGUAGCGAAAUUCCUUGUCGGGUAAGUUCCGACCUGCACGAAUGGCGUAAUGAUGGCCAGGCUGUCUCCACCCGAGACUCAGUGAAAUUGAACUCGCUGUGAAGAUGCAGUGUACCCGCGGCAAGACGGAAAGACCCCGUGAACCUUUACUAUAGCUUGACACUGAACAUUGAGCCUUGAUGUGUAGGAUAGGUGGGAGGCUUUGAAGCGUGGACGCCAGUCUGCGUGGAGCCGACCUUGAAAUACCACCCUUUAAUGUUUGAUGUUCUAACGUGGACCCGUAAUCCGGGUUGCGGACAGUGUCUGGUGGGUAGUUUGACUGGGGCGGUCUCCUCCUAAAGAGUAACGGAGGAGCACGAAGGUUGGCUAAUCCUGGUCGGACAUCAGGAGGUUAGUGCAAUGGCAUAAGCCAGCUUGACUGCGAGCGUGACGGCGCGAGCAGGUGCGAAAGCAGGUCAUAGUGAUCCGGUGGUUCUGAAUGGAAGGGCCAUCGCUCAACGGAUAAAAGGUACUCCGGGGAUAACAGGCUGAUACCGCCCAAGAGUUCAUAUCGACGGCGGUGUUUGGCACCUCGAUGUCGGCUCAUCACAUCCUGGGGCUGAAGUAGGUCCCAAGGGUAUGGCUGUUCGCCAUUUAAAGUGGUACGCGAGCUGGGUUUAGAACGUCGUGAGACAGUUCGGUCCCUAUCUGCCGUGGGCGCUGGAGAACUGAGGGGGGCUGCUCCUAGUACGAGAGGACCGGAGUGGACGCAUCACUGGUGUUCGGGUUGUCAUGCCAAUGGCACUGCCCGGUAGCUAAAUGCGGAAGAGA
Molecule: ribosomal RNA, 2696 nt
Filed under: Salmonella enterica subsp. enterica serovar Weltevreden
Lineage: Bacteria; Pseudomonadati; Pseudomonadota; Gammaproteobacteria; Enterobacterales; Enterobacteriaceae
Description: partial 23S ribosomal RNA
Rfam family: Bacterial large subunit ribosomal RNA
Source: RNAcentral